Molecule: long non-coding RNA, 2569 nt
Organism: Arachis stenosperma
Lineage: Eukaryota; Viridiplantae; Streptophyta; Magnoliopsida; Fabales; Fabaceae
Exons: 4
Source: RefSeq, a predicted model, not a curated record
UCACAAUCUGCUACCGUCAAUACAAUCAAAUCUCAACCGUCAGAUCUACACAGCCCUAUUAUAUAAGAUAGGUUUGGGUUUUCUUCUUUAUGUCAUUCAUCUCCUUCUUCCCUUAUCCUUAUCCUUUUGUUUUCGAUUAGCUCAGAUCUUGUUCACGCGUUUUCUCUGAUACACCUAUUCUCCAUAGAUCUGUAUGGAUCCGAUCCAGAGCUGCAUGCCGAUGGUGCUUUUGUUCGGGUUCUACAAGGAUCUGACGCUUGUUGCCUCAGAUCUAACGUUCAGAGGUACGGCAGAGAAUCGGUUACUGGAUGGACCCAGCGUAGAUCCAUAGAGAAACCAAUCUGUUGCCGCUUUUCCCUAGUUGAUAUCUCCGUCUCCAGAUCUACCAUGAUCGAUUGCAGCGAAGCUCGUUCUGGCGAAGAACUCUGUUACCUAUGUUGCAGAUCUCAGAAAUUGUAAAAGAAAAUUAGUGUAUGCUUUGAAGUUAAAGAGGAGGACGAGAGUGUGUGGAUGUAGAUUACGGGAUGAAGAACCUCAAUAACGCUGAGCGGGUUUGAGGUUUGGAAUCCUGAGUGAUCUUGUCAUCCGACCUUUGCCAUGACAGGUGCGCUUGCAUGGCAGGUCAAACAAAGUUAAUAAAAAAAGAAUUUAUUUGGUUUUUGGGGGUGAAUCGCACGGGAGUUGCCCGGGGUCACCCCCUUGUGUGUGGUGUGUGCUUCCUUUUCGUUCUGCUCCCUUUUUAUUACCUAUCUGUUGCUCUUUCAACACCGGACGGGAUGGAAACACCAGCAGAUACGCAUGCUCGUACGCUCCAAUAAUUGAGGUAUCAUCUUAACAGUUAUUCGCAUUAGAUCAUUAUAUACUUACGUAUGUACCGUUAAAAUUCGAUGGAAAACCUAAUUUCUAAUUACAUCCCCAACUUAAAAGGACUGGUAAAUUAAAUAAUAGUAGCAAUUAGUUUUUAUCAGUAGUUUUAUUUUCGUACAUGGGAUAUAUAUGCUUUUUAUAAUUUACCUAAUAUACAUCGAAGCAACAUCAUUGUGCAAAUUCUAACACCUUAAUUUUUAUUAAUAUUUUGAAUGAAAACAGCUCAUUAGUUAUCGCUUGUUCAGUUAGUUUAUAGUACAAUCUUCGUUUUUUUUUCAUAUUUUAUAAAUAAUAUAGUACAAUUGGCUUUUUAGUUUAUAGUAUAAUCUUCGUUUUUUUAAUUCUAUAUUAACAAUGGAAAUGUGCACCAACAGUUUUGUAAUUUGGUAUUAAUUUCAUUCAUACUCAUCGAGCUAUUAAUUUAGGGGCAGUUAUGCAUUUUAUAGCUCUACUACCGGUUUUUGUAACAAUGAUGUACUUCACAAUGAAAAGGAAGAAAACACUGGCUGUAAAAGUUUGUAGUUUAGAAACAUGUUCUCUUUGAAGCCGAUGUUGUCAGGAAUAUUGCUCGAGGAAAUCUGGCGUUGAGAAGGAUGUCGCAUUAACAUUUUCGAGUUGUUUCAACCCGGCUGCUUUGCGAUUUCGAAGCGUUGAAGAAACGUCAACAUUGGCAGUGGAGCGAAGCUUUCACAUGAUGAUUUUAGUAUGGUUUUCUAGUCUUUCAUCAAUAUAUUAAGUGUGCGACUUAUCUGACGAUUCAUGCAAUACAUAUCUUGGAAUUAGUUUUUUUCGAAUGCUGGACACUAGCUUUGGAAUUGGUAAUAUACAGCUGGUGCCCCUUGCGGAACAUUUAGUGGUGUUAGUCGAAUGUGGUGAUAAUUUCCGUGAGAUGUUUCUUCUGGAGGAUGAUGGCUUUUUGUGCUUCUGAAAUUCGGCUUUUCUGCUUAAAAAUGGUCUUUAGAUAUCUUUGUUACAUUACGAUAGCUUCUUGAUUUUUCAAAUGCAGCGAAGAAUGUCACUAAUUUUUGGUGUGAUAUAUAUAUAGUUGUUUAGAAUUUGGAUAUUAAUCUGGUUUGUUUGCAAGUAUUUAUGAAAAAUGAGAUUUAAAUUUGAUGAUUUUAUAAGUAGGUUUAUGUUUUUUGCUAUGGCUGAAAAUAUCUUCAAAUAAUUCAUGAGAAUGAAUUUUGAUCAGAAUAUUUUUUUUUCAGUGGAUUUUUCAAAUAGAUAAUCUAAGUAUAUUUCUACGGAUCAUAAACGAUAUGCUAAUUACAAAAUGUUGGUUUUUUGGUCGGCAGAUUCAAAAAUUAGGUUUUAUUUUGGUAUAUUUGCCCAAAUUAAUAUUGGUAAAUAUGCCAAAUUUGUUCAAUGUUCCAAUGUUUUAAAUAACCAAGGCUAAUCAUAAUUCCCGAUGGAUCUUCUCAAUGUAUUGAAAAAAAAUUGAGUGUAAAGUAUGGUUUUUAACUCUCUUUUUGUUUUCACUUAUAUAUUUUUUUUAUUUAUAAAUAAAAUUAAUGGUGAGAGAUUAUAUUUUAUUUUUUCGAUUUUUCAAAUUGGUGUGUUAAAUUUCUAAAUCUAAUCUUUGAUUCCUCCGUAGUCUCUGGUUUUGAGAUUCCUUGGUAAAUUAUUUCUAAAUUGUAAAUAAAUUAAUGUAUUUUAAUUUUUCAUCUAUAAUUUAUUAAUAUCUUUUGAGUCUUUUUCUUAA